This 389-nucleotide ribosomal RNA is filed under the name uncultured bacterium. RNAcentral's name for it is "bacterial SSU rRNA". It matches the Rfam family "Bacterial small subunit ribosomal RNA", at positions 30 to 402 of the family's 1533-position model. The record is from RNAcentral.
AGCGAACGCUGGCGGCGUGCUUAACACAUGCAAGUCGCGCGCGAAAGCGGCCCUCGGAUCGUGAGUAGAGCGGCGCACGGGUGCGUAAGACGCGGGUGACCUAUCCACGAGGUGGGGAUAACCUUUCGAAAGAGGGGCUAAUACCGGAUGAGCCCACAGGCAGAGAUGCCAGGGGGUAAAGGGUGCGGUUUACUAGGCGCAUCUCUUCGUGGCGGGGCCCACGGCCUAUCAGCUAGUUGGUGUGGUAACGGCACACCAAGGCGAAGACGGGUAGCUGGUCUGAGAGGAUGGCCAGCCACACGGGGACUGAGACACGGCCCCGACUCCUACGGGAGGCAGCAGUGGGAAUAUUGGGCAAUGGGCGCGAGCCUGACCCAGCGACGCCGCGU